Molecule: ribosomal RNA, 478 nt
Filed under: uncultured bacterium
Lineage: Bacteria
Description: bacterial SSU rRNA
Rfam family: Bacterial small subunit ribosomal RNA
Source: RNAcentral
GAUGAACGGCUGGGCGGCGUGCCUCAAACAUGCAAGUCGAGCGAAGGCUAUGAAUUACCGCAAGGUAAGGCAUAGCCUAGCGGCGAACGGGUGAGUAACACGUGGGUAACCUACCUGGAAGACAGGGAUAACGAUUCGAAAGGGUCGCUAAUACCUGAUAAUAUCCAUCUGCCGGAUGGCGGAGGGAAGAAAGGGGAAACCCGCUUUCAGAUGGGCCCGCGUCCCAUCAGCUAGUUGGUAAGGUAAAGGCUUACCAAGGCGACGACGGGUAGCCGGUCUGAGAGGAUGUACGGCCACACUGGGACUGAGAUACGGCCCAGACUCCUACGGGAGGCAGCAGUUGGGAAUCUUAGGCAAUGGACGAAAGUCUGACCUAGCGACGCCGCGUGAGGGAAGAAGGCCUUCGGGUUGUAAACCUCUGUCAUGGGGGAAGAAGGAAGUGACGGUACCCCAAGAGGAAGCCCCUGCUAACUACGUG